ACCUGGGACCGUGACCGCGAUUGCGACAGCGACAGCGAUUUAAAACCAUGGUACCCAUUGAGUUCCAGUCCAGUGGUUUAUAAGGCGCUGAGGUUGCUUCCAAAUUUCUGAAGAACGUAAGGCAUCCUAUCCUUUUACAAGGGUCUUUAUUAUACACAUCUAAUCAUUUGUUUUCCAAAUAACAUUAGGAUUUUUCUUGCUAGAACUGGAUACAAUAUACUAUGGUGAGACCCACUAGAAUUUGCCCAUAACAUUGCUAGUGUGACUCAAAAUGAAACUAACAUGCUCUAUAGCUUCGUUGGAGUUAUGUCCAGGGCCAGGCCUUA
Molecule: unclassified non-coding RNA, 326 nt
Filed under: Hevea brasiliensis (rubber tree)
Lineage: Eukaryota; Viridiplantae; Streptophyta; Magnoliopsida; Malpighiales; Euphorbiaceae
Source: RNAcentral